UCUGGGGGCAGGGCGGGGUGGCUCACACCUGUAAUACCAACUACUCGGGAGGCAGAGGCGGGAGGAUCACGUGAGCCCAGGAGUUGGAGACCACCCUGGGCAACAGAGCGAGACCCAGACGCUACAAAAAAUAUAAAAAUUAGCUGGGCGAUUGUAGUCCCAGGUACUCGGCAAGCUGAGGCGGGAGGGUUUGAGCCCAAGAGGUCGAGGCUGCAUUGAGCCCAGAUGGCGCCACUGCACACCAGCCUGGGAGACAAAGCAAGACCCUGUCUCAAAAAGAAAAAGAAAAACAAAAACCAGUAUGGGAUGUUCCUGUUAGGCAACUAAGGGUGAAAAAUCAGAGCACGACGCAUAGCUUCUCACAGAUUCUGGUGUGCGUGCCACACCAGAGAAUAAGGAACUCCAUAGCCUGAAAGGGAACUGAAUAAAAAUAAACAUAAAAGAGAAUAAGAAA
RNAcentral lists this long non-coding RNA (454 nucleotides) under Pan troglodytes (chimpanzee). RNAcentral's name for it is "lincRNA". Lineage: Eukaryota; Metazoa; Chordata; Mammalia; Primates; Hominidae. The record is from RNAcentral.